This 507-nucleotide ribosomal RNA is filed under the name uncultured bacterium. RNAcentral describes it as "partial 16S ribosomal RNA". It matches the Rfam family "Bacterial small subunit ribosomal RNA", at positions 28 to 507 of the family's 1533-position model. The record is from RNAcentral.
GACGAACGCUGGCGGCGUGCCUAAUACAUGCAAGUCGAACGCAUUUUCUUUCACCGUAGCUUGCUACACCGAAAGAAAAUGAGUGGCGAACGGGUGAGUAACACGUGGGUAACCUGCCCAUCAGCGGGGGAUAACACCUGGAAACAGGUGCUAAUACCGCAUAAUUCCAUUUACUGCAUGGUAGAUGGAUGAAAGGCGCUUUUGCGUCACUGAUGGAUGGACCCGCGGUGCAUUAGCUAGUUGGUGGGGUAACGGCCUACCAAGGCUGCGAUGCAUAGCCGACCUGAGAGGGUGAUCGGCCACACUGGGACUGAGACACGGCCCAGACUCCUACGGGAGGCAGCAGUAGGGAAUCUUCGGCAAUGGACGCAAGGCUGACCGAGCAACGCCGCGUGAGUGAAGAAGGUUUUCGGAUCGUAAAACUCGGUUGUUAGAAAAGAACAAGGAUGAGAGUGGAAAGUUCAUCCCUUGACGGUAUCUAACCAGAAAGCCACGGCUAACUACGUG